Molecule: ribosomal RNA, 467 nt
Filed under: uncultured bacterium
Lineage: Bacteria
Description: partial 16S ribosomal RNA
Rfam family: Bacterial small subunit ribosomal RNA
Source: RNAcentral
GACGAACGCUGGCGGCGUGCUUAACACAUGCAAGUCGAACGGAAAGGCCUCUUUCGGGGGGUACUCGAGUGGCGAACGGGUGAGUAACACGUGAGUAACCUGCCCUUGACUUUGGGAUAACUUCAGUAAACUGGGGCUAAUACCGGAUAGGAGCUCCUGCUGCAUGGUGGGGGUUGGAAAGUUUCGGCGGUUGGGGAUGGACUCGCGGCUUAUCAGCUUGUUGGUGGGGUAGUGGCUUACCAAGGCUUUGACGGGUAGCCGGCCUGAGAGGGUGACCGGCCACAUUGGGACUGAGAUACGGCCCAGACUCCUACGGGAGGCAGCAGUGGGGAAUAGUGCACAAUGGGUGGAAGCCUGAUGCAGCAACGCCGUGUGCGGGAUGACGGCCUUCGGGUUGUAAACCGCUUUCGCUCAUGACGAAGCUUUGUGUGACGGUAGUGGGUAAAGAAGCACCGGCUAACUACGUG